This 583-nucleotide long non-coding RNA is filed under the name Hordeum vulgare. RNAcentral describes it as "long non-coding RNA (HVUL_LNC008437)". The record is from RNAcentral. Lineage: Eukaryota; Viridiplantae; Streptophyta; Magnoliopsida; Poales; Poaceae.
GAGUAAAUGCGCUCUAGAUAUAGGGCUAUCCUAUAAAAGAAAGCAAUCACGAUGUAUGUUGCUAGACGCCGAGAUAGGAGCGAGAAGAAUAAGUUUGUGUUUGAUGUCAUGGAGGGGAAAACUAUUCUUCUUUGCUUUAUGGUGAUUGUUUUAAUAGCAAAUUUCACUCUUACUGGUACAAAAUUGGUGCUCUCCUAUACAUAUCUAUAUGUUUCCUUUCUCCUGCCAAUGUGAGUAGAAUAGCAUUGUCAAGUGAACUGCAUGAAUUUCUUUGGAACUUUCUUAAUUUAGAAUUGUUUAAUUGUUGUAUGUUCUUGUCUACAGAGAGUUGUAAAGGGUACAUGGGUUUUGUCCCAGUAUGUGGAGAACCAGAACGUCGGGAGAUCUGUCGGUUCGACUGGGGAGAACGUGUCAAGAAAGCUUAUUGUAUGAAUGUCAAGGAGUGUUACUGUCUAGUCUGUGAUUAGAGUUGCACUUUGCCAUCUCGUAUGUAAAACAAUGGGCAAUGAUGUAAUCCUGUAAUAAAUUCUUCUUGUAACAUGCAUGUGACAGUGUACGUUGAUCGUCAUUUUUUUUCAGAAAC